RNAcentral lists this ribosomal RNA (1688 nucleotides) under Salmonella enterica subsp. enterica serovar Muenchen. RNAcentral's name for it is "bacterial LSU rRNA". It matches the Rfam family "Bacterial large subunit ribosomal RNA", at positions 1271 to 2925 of the family's 2925-position model. Lineage: Bacteria; Pseudomonadati; Pseudomonadota; Gammaproteobacteria; Enterobacterales; Enterobacteriaceae. The record is from RNAcentral.
UGCUGGAGGUAUCAGAAGUGCGAAUGCUGACAUAAGUAACGAUAAAGCGGGUGAAAAGCCCGCUCGCCGGAAGACCAAGGGUUCCUGUCCAACGUUAAUCGGGGCAGGGUGAGUCGACCCCUAAGGCGAGGCCGAAAGGCGUAGUCGAUGGGAAACGGGUUAAUAUUCCCGUACUUGGUGUUACUGCGAAGGGGGGACGGAGAAGGCUAUGUUGGCCGGGCGACGGUUGUCCCGGUUUAAGCGUGUAGGUGUGUGUUCCAGGUAAAUCCGGUUCACUUUAACACUGAGGCGUGACGACGAGGCACUACGGUGCUGAAGCAACAAAUGCCCUGCUUCCAGGAAAAGCCUCUAAGCAUCAGGUAACAUCAAAUCGUACCCCAAACCGACACAGGUGGUCAGGUAGAGAAUACCAAGGCGCUUGAGAGAACUCGGGUGAAGGAACUAGGCAAAAUGGUGCCGUAACUUCGGGAGAAGGCACGCUGAUAUGUAGGUGAAGCGGUUUACCCGUGGAGCUGAAAUCAGUCGAAGAUACCAGCUGGCUGCAACUGUUUAUUAAAAACACAGCACUGUGCAAACACGAAAGUGGACGUAUACGGUGUGACGCCUGCCCGGUGCCGGAAGGUUAAUUGAUGGGGUCAGCGCAAGCGAAGCUCCUGAUCGAAGCCCCGGUAAACGGCGGCCGUAACUAUAACGGUCCUAAGGUAGCGAAAUUCCUUGUCGGGUAAGUUCCGACCUGCACGAAUGGCGUAAUGAUGGCCAGGCUGUCUCCACCCGAGACUCAGUGAAAUUGAACUCGCUGUGAAGAUGCAGUGUACCCGCGGCAAGACGGAAAGACCCCGUGAACCUUUACUAUAGCUUGACACUGAACAUUGAGCCUUGAUGUGUAGGAUAGGUGGGAGGCUUUGAAGCGUGGACGCCAGUCUGCGUGGAGCCGACCUUGAAAUACCACCCUUUAAUGUUUGAUGUUCUAACGUGGACCCGUAAUCCGGGUUGCGGACAGUGUCUGGUGGGUAGUUUGACUGGGGCGGUCUCCUCCUAAAGAGUAACGGAGGAGCACGAAGGUUGGCUAAUCCUGGUCGGACAUCAGGAGGUUAGUGCAAUGGCAUAAGCCAGCUUGACUGCGAGCGUGACGGCGCGAGCAGGUGCGAAAGCAGGUCAUAGUGAUCCGGUGGUUCUGAAUGGAAGGGCCAUCGCUCAACGGAUAAAAGGUACUCCGGGGAUAACAGGCUGAUACCGCCCAAGAGUUCAUAUCGACGGCGGUGUUUGGCACCUCGAUGUCGGCUCAUCACAUCCUGGGGCUGAAGUAGGUCCCAAGGGUAUGGCUGUUCGCCAUUUAAAGUGGUACGCGAGCUGGGUUUAGAACGUCGUGAGACAGUUCGGUCCCUAUCUGCCGUGGGCGCUGGAGAACUGAGGGGGGCUGCUCCUAGUACGAGAGGACCGGAGUGGACGCAUCACUGGUGUUCGGGUUGUCAUGCCAAUGGCACUGCCCGGUAGCUAAAUGCGGAAGAGAUAAGUGCUGAAAGCAUCUAAGCACGAAACUUGCCCCGAGAUGAGUUCUCCCUGAGACUUAAAGUCUCCUGAAGGAACGUUGAAGACGACGACGUUGAUAGGCCGGGUGUGUAAGCGCAGCGAUGCGUUGAGCUAACCGGUACUAAUGAACCGUGAGGCUUAACCUUACAACGCCGAAG